RNAcentral lists this ribosomal RNA (267 nucleotides) under uncultured bacterium. Its description in RNAcentral is "partial 16S ribosomal RNA". It matches the Rfam family "Bacterial small subunit ribosomal RNA", at positions 355 to 639 of the family's 1533-position model. The record is from RNAcentral.
UGGGGAAUAUUGCACAAUGGGCGAAAGCCUGAUGCAGCAACGCCGCGUGAGUGAUGAAGGUCUUCGGAUUGUAAAGCUCUGUCUUUUGGGACGAUAAUGACGGUACCAAAGGAGGAAGCCACGGCUAACUACGUGCCAGCAGCCGCGGUAAUACGUAGGUGGCGAGCGUUGUCCGGAUUUACUGGGCGUAAAGGGUGCGUAGGCGGAUGUUUAAGUGAGAUGUGAAAUACCCGGGCUUAACUUGGGUGCUGCAUUUCAAACUGGAUA